This 590-nucleotide long non-coding RNA is filed under the name Panax ginseng (ginseng). RNAcentral's name for it is "long non-coding RNA (PGIN_LNC011375)". The record is from RNAcentral. Lineage: Eukaryota; Viridiplantae; Streptophyta; Magnoliopsida; Apiales; Araliaceae.
UUUGAAGCUGGAAUAGAUGCAAAGAUUUGAUUGAUCUUAAUUAUAGGAAAUAAUGUUGUAAGACUUGAAACUGACCUAUUCAGGAUAGUAGCAUCAUUGAAGAAUUUCUCAACUACGGAAUGGCGGUUAGAUCUGAAGGAAAAUAUGAAAUUACUACUGUCUACGAGGAUAGACUUAUCAAGCUUCUGCAUAAUACAUGUUGCUACACUUUUAUUGUGAACAUCUCCAGGACUGACUUAAUUAAAUGAUGAUUUUUGAACUUGAUGCUUGUUAUAUUUUUGUAGUUCUGACAGUAGCAUAAUCUUUGCAAUGCAUUGAUAAUAAGACACGAGUGCCAGAGGCCUGAUCAGGUACUUGGACCUACUGGUAUAGCGUAGUAGAGUUUCUCACAUUAAUAAGUGAGUGGUAGUUUGUAAAUUGGAGGGACUCAUAACCAACUAUUUUUUUAUUGGGAGCUUGUUUCUUCAGUCUUCAUGUCUCUUUCAUUAAUGAGACUGCACUCUAAGGACUGUACUGCUACUAUUCUCAUAACAAUAAUUGCUUUAAGUUCUUGGUGUAUCUAGGAACAAUUAUAUAAAACAUUUAAAAAU